AUGCGGCGGUGCUCUACUCCGUCUCGUCCCCCAUCCUAUCCAACCAAAUCCGGGACAAACUCUGCUCCACCACCUCCCACUCCCCACUUCGCCUCGCUCUCUGCUCCGCUGUCCACGCGCGCGCGCGCACUCCUAUCCUUGUCGCUCUCCAUGUUGGCCCCUUCCACCGCCACCGCCACCGCCACCGCCACCUGCCUCCUCCUGCCGCGGUCGGCCGCCGCCAGCCGGGGCCUACCCUUGCACUCCCUCCUCCUCUCACGCCGUCGCCCCCGCCACCGCUGCGCCGUCGACGCCAGCAGCGCCGCCGCUUCCGGCGGCGGCGGCGCUGCCAAGGAGCCGCCCAGGACGCUGUUCCCUGGCGGGUUCAAGCGGCCGGAGAUCCAGGUACCGGCGCUCGUCCUCCGUGUUGGCGUCGACGAGGCUCUCGGCUCUGGUGACGCGGUGUCCGCCGCCCUGGCGCGGGGCGUGGGGAUCGUCGUGCUCGAGGCCGGGGAGGAGGGCGGCGGGCGCGCGUACGAGGCCGCGCGCGCGCUCAAGGCGGCGGUAGGGGACCGCGCUUACCUGCUCAUCGCGGAGCGAGUCGACGUCGCCUCCGCGGUCGGGGCGAGCGGCGUCGUGCUAGCCGACGAUGGUAUUCCUGCUAUUGUUGCAAGGAGUAUGAUGAUGAAAUCCAACUCUGACUCCAUAUAUCUCCCGCUUGUCGCUAGAACUAUACGGUCCUCGGACUCUGCCAGAAGCGCUACUAGUUCUGAGGGGGCUGAUUUCCUUAUCGUAAAUACCGGGACGGGUGACUUCUCGAGUGUUUUGAAUGGUGCUGGUGCUCAGCAUGUGAAGAUUCCAGUUUUCUUCACUUUAAAUGAUUUGCAAAGCGAAGGGUCUUAUUCUGAUACCACAUCCAAGCUGUUCCAGUCUGGUGCAUCUGGAAUUGUUUUGUCUUUGACUGGCAUCCAACAUCUUACUGACAAUAUCAUAGAAAGGGAUUUUUUAAAAGUGGAUAGCACCGGUACAGUACCACAAGCCACUUCCUCUUCUGCUAGCGCGUUGGAAGAAACAAAUAAUGUAAUGGUCCUAACUCGUGAGAAGACAAAAGUUGCUGGAUUUACAAAACUGGAUGAAAAAGUGAUGCAGCUAAUAGCGAUGGAAAAGCCUAUUCUUAGUGAAGCUGUUGAUGUUAUCCGCAAGGCAGCACCAAUGAUGGAAGAGGCUGAACUUCUGGUUGAUGCUGCUUCUCGCCUGAGUGAGCCAUUUUUGUUGGUUAUUGUGGGUGAAUUUAACUCGGGAAAAUCAACCUUUAUAAAUGCUCUACUUGGAAGGAAGUAUCUUCAGGAAGGAGUUGUACCCACGACAAAUGAGAUCACACUGCUCUCAUAUUCAGAGGUUGAUUCUGAAAGCAUGGAACGAUGUGAGCGGCACCCGGAUGGUCAAUUCACAUGCUAUUUAUCGGCUCCAAUUUUAAAAGAGAUGAACCUAGUUGAUACACCUGGAACAAAUGUCAUUCUCCAGAGGCAGCAGCGACUCACUGAAGAAUAUGUGCCACGAGCUGACUUGAUACUCUUUGUACUGUCAUCAGAUAGACCAUUGACUGAGAGUGAGGUCGGAUUUCUCCAGUAUGUCCAGCAGUGGAAGAAGAAAGUAGUAUUUGUUCUAAACAAAUUGGACCUCUAUCGGAACAGUGAUGAGCUUGAAGAGGCCACUGCCUUUAUCAAGGAAAACGCAAGGAAAUUACUCAACACUGAGGAUGUAACACUGUUUCCUGUAUCUUCACGCUCUGCUCUGGAAGUCAAACUUUCAUAUUCAAAGAAAAAUGAUAGGGAGCACCAUGGGGAAGUUUUGUUAAGUGAUCCUAGAUGGAGAAGCAGCAAGUUUUAUGAUCUUGAGCAUUACCUACUGAGCUUUUUAGAUGGUUCAACAGAUAAUGGAAAGGAAAGGGUCCGACUGAAACUUGAAACACCAAUUGGUAUUGCAGAUCGUUUGCUAACUUCAUGUCAAAGACUUGUGAAACUAGAACAUGAAAAGGCUAUUGAUGACUUGACAUCCAUCAGGGAUCUUGUUUCUGGUGCAAACAACUAUGCUUUGAAAAUUGAGGCUGAUAGCAAUUCCUGGCAGAAGCAGAUUUCGUCUCUUAUUGAGAGAGCAAAAAGUCGAGCUAUAACGCUCAUGGAAUCUACACUUCAGUUGUCAAACAUUGACCUUAUUUUUACAUACAUGCUCACAGGAGAAAAAGGGCCUUCCGCCAAAGCCACAUCGUUUGUUCAAAAUGAUAUUCUGAGUCCUGCCCUUGACGAUGCAGCUGAUUUAUUGGGUGAAUAUUCAAAAUGGUUGAGUUCUAGCAAUACCCGUGAAGCAAAUUUAUAUCUGGAGUGUUUCCAUGAAAGAUGGAAUUCAUUGGUUAGUCAGGAAGAAAGUGUCUCAUCAGAUCGAACUGAGCUUGUUAAUGAAGGAGAGAAACUCAGCAUAAAAGUGCUGGAUGGCUUCAGUGCUACUGCUGCUGCUAAGGUUUUUGAAGAAGAAAUUCGUGAAGUGGCUACGGGAACUUUUGGAGGGCUUGGGGUUGCGGGAUUGUCAGCCUCUCUUUUGACUUCUGUUCUAACAACUACACUCGAAGAUCUACUUGCUCUUGCUCUUUGCUCAGCUGGCGGGUUUUUUGCAAUAUCGAAUUUCCCUGGUCGACGGAAGCUUGCGGUAGAGAAGGUCAGCAAGGCUGCCGAUGAACUAUCUCGUAAAGUUGAUGAAGCUAUUCAGAAGGAUAUAUCUCAGAGUGGUAGUAAGCUAGUCCAGUUCGUAGACACUGCCAGCAAACCGUACCAGGAAGCAUGCCAGCGAAAAAUUGACUGGCUGCAGGGUGUUCAGGGUGAGUUGUCCGCCGUUGAGCGUAAGCUCCAAACUCUGAAAAUCGACAUCCAAAAUCUGCACGGAUCGUGA
Molecule: ribosomal RNA, 2922 nt
Filed under: Triticum aestivum (bread wheat)
Lineage: Eukaryota; Viridiplantae; Streptophyta; Magnoliopsida; Poales; Poaceae
Description: partial small subunit ribosomal RNA
Source: RNAcentral